RNAcentral lists this ribosomal RNA (465 nucleotides) under uncultured bacterium. RNAcentral's name for it is "partial 16S ribosomal RNA". It matches the Rfam family "Bacterial small subunit ribosomal RNA", at positions 28 to 507 of the family's 1533-position model. The record is from RNAcentral.
GAUGAACGCUGGCGGCGUGCUUAACACAUGCAAGUCGAACGGAAAGGCCCCUUUGGGGGUACUCGAGUGGCGAACGGGUGAGUAACACGGGAGUAACCUGCCCUUGACUUCGGGAUAACUUCAGGAAACUGGGGCUAAUACCGGAUAGGAAUCCUUGCUGCAUGGUGGGGGUUGGAAAGCGUCGGCGGUUUUGGAUGGACUCGCGGCUUAUCAGCUUGUUGGUGGGGUAGUGGCUUACCAAGGCUUUGACGGGUAGCCGGCCUGAGAGGGCGAGCGGCCACCUUGGGACUGAGAUACAGCCCAGCCUCCUACGGGAGGCAGCAGUGGGGAAUAUUGCACACUGGGCGGACGCCUGAUGCAGCAACGCCGCGUGCGGGAUGACGGCCUUCGUGUUGUAAGCCGCUUUCAGCAGGGGCGAAGCUUGUGGUGACGGUACCUGCAGAAGAAGCGCCGGCUAACUACGUG